CAAGAGCGUAUGUAAAAGUUGUUGCAGUUAAAAAGCUCGUAGUUGAACCUUGGGUUUGGUUGGCCGGUCCGCUUUUUUGCGAGUACUGGAUUCAACCGAGCCUUUCCUUCUGGCUAACCAGUCGUUUCGGCGGCUGGUGAACCAGGAUUUUUACUUUGAGAAAAUUAGAGUGUUCAAAGCAGGCAUUAGCUUGAAUAUAUUAGCAUGGAAUAAUAGAAUAGGACGUUAUGGUUCUAUUUUGUUGGUUUCUAGGACCAUCGUAAUGAUUAAUAGGGACGGUCGGGGGCAUCAGUAUUCAGUUGUCAGAGGUGAAAUUCUUGGAUUUACUGAAGACUAACUACUGCGAAAGCAUUUGCCAAGGACGUUUUCAUUAA
Molecule: ribosomal RNA, 374 nt
Filed under: uncultured eukaryote
Lineage: Eukaryota
Description: partial 18S ribosomal RNA
Rfam family: Eukaryotic small subunit ribosomal RNA
Source: RNAcentral